CGGGGUUUCGGGCAGCCAUGGAGAAUUUUCGGCAAGAUUUUACCCCAGUGAAAAAGGCUUGUAAUCCACAGUGAUCAGCUAAGAUGUUGUUUCACUGGAUUAUUUAAUUGGGCAUAUAAUUGAAUAAUUCUGGAUCAGCUGAGAUGUUAUUUCACUGGAUUAUUUAAUGGAUAGACUUAUUGGGCAUAUAUUUGGAUAUCUCUGUCCUCAACCUGGAAGAUAUGUUUUGUUCCUAACCAUCUAUAAUCCAUUCUCUAUGAAGUUCAGACUGUCUGCUCUUCCUUUGGAAAUACACUGUUAAUUAACCAACAUAGAAACACGCAAACU
Molecule: long non-coding RNA, 327 nt
Organism: Saccostrea cuccullata (small rock oyster)
Lineage: Eukaryota; Metazoa; Mollusca; Bivalvia; Ostreida; Ostreidae
Exons: 4
Source: RefSeq, a predicted model, not a curated record